AUGGAGGGCACGGCGCAGCUUGUUUCCACCGUCGGGCUGCGGGUUGGUGAGGAGUUCGGGCAGCUCCGCCGCGUUGGUCGAGAUGUGGCUGAGCUCAGAGAUGAGCUGGCCACCAUGAAUGCCAUCCUCCGCAUGCACUCUGAAGCUGACGAGGGCGACGUGGACCACUUCGUCCGGGAGUGGAUGAAGCAGGUGCAAGAGCUCGCAUAUGAUUCGGAGGACUGCAUCCACCUCUAUAUUUUCCGGAUCAGGUGCCGGCGUAGCGACGGCCUUGUCGCCUGGUCCAAACGCGUGCUUGCCACUCUUUUUCCUCGACAUCGCCUAGCAGGCGACAUCAAGAACCUCCGCGCCCGUGCGGUUGCCAUCAGCGAGCGCCACGCUCGGUACGGCGUCAGCAGAGAAGCACUGCGCCGCUCUCCUUCUUUGGCUUUCGCCCCCACGCCGCCGGCAGCGUCCUCAUCCCCAUCUGCGCUUGGCCCUGCCAACGACCCUGGCCACCUCGUCGGCAUCAUCGAGCAGGCUAACAUCCUUGGAGAGAAGGUGAAGGCGGUAGAUGACCAAGAGAGGGACAUGAAGCUUAAGGUGUUCUCCAUCGUGGGGUUUGGAGGGGUUGGAAAGACUACGCUGGCCCUGGAGGCGUGCCGGCAGCUGGAGUCCGAGUUUCAACGCCAAGCACAAGUGUCUGUGUCCCAGAUCUUCAACGCGGAGAAGGAUAUGGAGGGGCUUCUGCAGCGCGUGAUUCAGCAGAUCGUGAAGCCAAAAGCAAAUAAUGAGGAAGGCAUCAACGUGGAGGAAUCUCCCCAGGGCAACAUGACUUUGAAAGAGCAGCUCGAGUCGACACUCCAGGACAAGAGGUACCUAAUUGUGAUCGAUGAUGUGUGGACCAUAGCAGCUUGGGAUGCAAUCCUAGCCAACUUGCCAGAGAACCACCGUGGAAGUAGAAUCCUGGUGACAACUCGGAUAGCGACAGUGGCUAAAGCAUGCAGUAAUAGAAGUGAGUAUAUCUAUCCAAUCGAGCCCCUGAAUUCAGAAGACUCCAAGAGGUUGUUCCUCAGUAGAACAUUUCCAUCCGUUGGUGCCACUUGCCCUGAUAGCUUAAAAGUUGCAAUGCAAGAUAUUUUGAGAAAAUGUGGUGGGCUUCCAUUGGCCAUUGUCAGCAUUGCCAGCUUCUUGAGAAACUAUAAUUCACCAGAUGGAAAAGAUAUGUGGGAAAGAGUUUCCAAGUCGAUUGGAUCUCACAUGGAGAGCCAACCUAGCCUUGAGAGGAUGAGGCAGAUAGUCACACUCAGCUACAACCAUUUGCCUCAUGAUAUAAGGUGUUGCAUGAUGUAUCUUAGCAUUUUCCCAGAGGAUUAUGCGGUCAACAUGCAUCGUCUGUUGCAUAAAUGGAUUGCUGAAGGAUUGGUUGCUGAGGUGCGUGGAUUGACCUUGCUGGAGGUUGCCCAAGCAUACUAUGAAGAACUUCUCAGUAGGAAUAUGAUUGUUCAGGCAGCAGAGGAAGUUAGAAACGAGGUUAGCAGGGAGACGUGCCGAGUGCACGACAUGGUGCUUGAGGUCAUGGUGUCUAAAUCACUAGAGGCCAACUUUGUUAGCCUGAUAGGUGGGCCGUACGAAGGGAUGGCAUAUGAUAAGAUUCGUCGUCUCUCCAUCCAUGGUGAAGAAGAGGAAUCUGUGGACUUGACAUCCAAGAAAAAGGGUGUGAGGAAUAUAGAGAUGGAGGUAAAACAUGUCCGAUCACUGAGCAUGUUCAAUAACCAAGGGCACCACCUGCUUGAUAGACUGGGUGAAUUCACCCUACUAAGGGUACUUGACCUGGAUCACUGCAAGGGCCUACAGAACAAGCAUAUGGGAGAUAUUUGCCGGUUGUACCUUCUUAGGUACUUGAGCAUGAGGGAAACAAAUGUCAGUGUGAUGCCUCCGGAAAUUGGUAAGCUGGAGCAAUUACUGACACUUGACGCGCGUGGCACGCUCCUUGAAGGCCUUCCAGAAACUGUGAUCAAGUUGCUUAAACUUGAGCGCCUGUUUUUCAGCAGCAUCUGUGUCUGGGAAGUUCUGUGGACGCCGCCCAGGGGUGUCUCAAAAAUGAAGGCUCUGCGCGAGGUGAUUAAAAUUGGCAUCUCAGACGACAUUGAGGUUGUUAAAGAGAUUGGUAAACUGCAACAGAUGCAGCUGAUACACAUCUUCGUGAAAAGGAGCGUACCUAGUGAGGAGGUCCUUCGGGAGCUUGCCGUCUCUCUGAGCAAGAUAUACUCUAUGCGGUCACUCAACAUUGGGCAGAUAGGUAACACGGCUAAUACAUUGGACUUUCUACAUUACGUCUCGCCGCCACGGCUCAUUCGUAAGAUAUGGAUUUCUGGCAGCAUGGGUGGAUUGCCGUCCUGGAUCGGGUCACUCACAUAUCUUGAAGAGAUCGAGCUUUUGUGCGCAUUCCUUGUUGAUGACCAACUAUUCGAAAUUCUGUGCGAGUCCCCCAACCUGAAGAGCAUCAUUUUGCAUCGUAAUUUCUGGACUCGAAGGGAGCUUGUUGCACGGACCGCACACAAGUUUAUGGCGCUCAGAAGCUUGCAUGUGUCCCUUGCUGAUGAAUUUCCCGAAGUUCUGCGAUUCGAGCAAGGAGCCAUGACAAGCCUAGAGAGUCUUUCUCUGCAUAUAGGUGAUAAUAACAACAACUUUGACGGCAUCGAGCACUUAACAAACCUCAAAGAGGUGCACCUCUCUGGUGGUAGAGACUACUCUGCAAUGAAGCUUGCCCUCGACAUGCUAAAAGCGGAGAAUGAGAGGCGGCACUCCGAAGUGUUCAAGAUCACAGUGAGAUAUUAA
This 2820-nucleotide ribosomal RNA is filed under the name Triticum aestivum (bread wheat). Its description in RNAcentral is "partial small subunit ribosomal RNA". Lineage: Eukaryota; Viridiplantae; Streptophyta; Magnoliopsida; Poales; Poaceae. The record is from RNAcentral.